Molecule: microRNA, 21 nt
Filed under: Gorilla gorilla (western gorilla)
Lineage: Eukaryota; Metazoa; Chordata; Mammalia; Primates; Hominidae
Also listed under: 1 other name
Description: ggo-miR-548d
Gene: ggo-miR-548d
Source: miRBase by way of RNAcentral
CAAAAACUGCAGUUACUUUUG